AGUAAAAUUGGAAUAUUGGUGUUUUUAUAGAGUUUGUAGUACCAUCACAACCAAAGUUCAUAAUGACAUAAUCUUUGUUCGUGCUCCGUUCAGAAAAAGAUACACAAGUACAUUGCGGCCAAAGUAUUACAUUCUGACAAACAUAAUAAGCCACCUCGCUAGAACAUAGCAUCUCAAACGGCUCUACUCCUGUUGCACAGAAAAGUGAACAACAAAAUAUUUUUGGCUAGAGUAGCAAAGGUACCAAGAAAAUGCACAAUUCUAUUGACUAACAUGUGAAGUGGAUGUACGCAUGCCUUGUAGCAUAGGGUUGUACUGACACACUCAGCAUCAGGGGAUUUCCAACUCACACAAGAUCAAACUGCACCACUUCGUUAUGCGAAGGCCAGCUGCCUGGGUCGUCACCGUCGAACUGAACCCCACACCCCUGUUGAACUGCUGAAAUAUUUUAGUACGAGUUAGAUACAGUGCCAAACUAGUACCUGAAAAUCUCAUCCCCAAAUAUGCAUGUCAAUCUUCACAGUUGGAAGUAAUCUGAUCUAUCUCAAAACAUCGAACUGAUACGUACAUGCAAGAACAAAACUGGUACAAGAAAUACAAACAAUCAAUAUGAGGAGGAAUCUCUAGAUGAAUAAGAACAGAGCAUCAAGAAGAUUCAUCAAAUUCAUACCAAAAAUAUGAGGAGGGGUCAUGGUACGCCAACCAAUAGGCUAUGCGGGAGGAGGGCGCGACCUACAGUUUCAGUGGUAUAUGCCUAAUAAUAAUUGGAAGGUAGAUGAUCAGCCAGUGUCGGCCUCCAAGGCCAACAACCUUCUUGACAACACACUAUAGACCGACCAACAUGGACUUUGUUGGGUUUAGUUUAUUUAUUCAUGAACUGUUAGGCGUGCCCAUUUUGAAAUUACGAAGUUUUCUAUACCCAUCUGAACCUACAAAGUUUUCCUAUAGCCUUUUGAACUUACAAAGUUUUUCUCGAUGAACUUUCAUGUGGUUUGUUUACAAGGAACUUUCAUAAGGGAACUUCUCGCGCAAUUGCACAUGUACUGGUUAUAUUUUCUUUGAAGCCAGAAUGGUUUUCAUAUGUUUCGUACACUAUGGUGAUGAAUAUAAACAGUGGGUGAGCACCAAGACAACUUUAACAUGGGACCCCUUCCCCCAAGAGGAAGCAAUAGGAAUUAUUGCUUAGAAAAUAAGUGCAAGUACAAGGAGAGUAGCAAGAGUUGUACUUUUGGUGUAAGCAUACAUGAGCAGGGCUUGCGCGGAGGCCGCGUGAGGGACUGGUUGAGGACGACCACACUAAUGUUUGUGCUGCUGCCGUUGUGGCAAAAGGGGCAACGACCUGUGUUGGUUGCAGGAGCUGGGCUGACCACCUAGGCAUCACAUCAAAGUAAUUAGCAAGAUUAACCACUACUUUUUACAAGAAUUAGCCAGCAAUUAAAGGGGUGAGAAAUAAUAGUUCUAGUAAUUAUAAUUUCCAAACACUAGUAGCAACCACUGUUUUUGGUUCAAUUUCCUAUGAAUAAAAACACUCCUGGGUAUUGACGAAGACGAUCUGUUAAACAUAACUAAAAGCAUCAGUUCAACUGUUUCGAAACCAUUAACACAAUCGCCUGAAACCAUCUUUUUGCUUGAACUUAUCUGGGACGUCGUGUUGAACUUUUUUCUGUACUUAUAUGCUAGUAAUAAUAGAACAUUUCCCAUACAGUUUUUGUCCAUUCGCGGACAUCAACCAAAAUAGGCAGGAGAGAGCAGUCAGUACAAAACCAUACAGAAAUCGAAGAAGCAACAUAGUAUAUACUGAUACAAAGUUGGACGGAUGCUCUGGGAUCUUUAGAACUGGUGAGGAAGCACAGACUUGUUGCACAAACAAAUAAGAUAUAAAUGUUUACUGUCCAAGAGCGCCCGUGCCAUGUAUUCAGAAUUUCCUCGCACCAUUUGUCAUACACAAAAGUCAUGUAUGGCUAUCAGGCACAACUUCUAUAUAUAGAAGGACCAGCAAGGGUCUUAGAAACCAACUAGGAGUACAUGAUUUCAAUCAACUCGAUGCUCAUUAGUACUAGAAUUAUAGGACAAGAAGUUUAGAUGGUACCAACGAUGGUUCAGAAUCAUCGAGAACACAAGUUCAGUAACAUAGUCACUUCAGUAGCACACACAAGCAAACAAGGUUGAAUUAUCAGACAAGUUCAGUAACAUAGUCACUUCAUUAGCAUACAGUGGAGAACAAUCACUCCUCCGAAAACAAGAAGACUAGAAUAGGUUGCAGUUCAGAUACAAAAGCAUACCAGCGAGAUUGAGGACGGAGGCAUGGGAGAUAGAUCAUCCGUCGUCGCUGCUGUACACACGUUGCCAAUUAAAAAGGCUGAACUUCAGUAGAUGGAGAAGAAGGACGGAUGACGAGCCAGCAGUGGCCAGAGGAAGAAGGCCACACAGGAGGAAGCACGACUACCGAGAGCAAUGGGCAGCGCCACGGCGGUGUCCAUGACGGUGGCAAGCAAAUGAGCCGAUUGUUCACGUGCUUCCCAAGAUCCC
Molecule: long non-coding RNA, 2529 nt
Filed under: Triticum aestivum (bread wheat)
Lineage: Eukaryota; Viridiplantae; Streptophyta; Magnoliopsida; Poales; Poaceae
Description: long non-coding RNA (TAES_LNC012150)
Source: RNAcentral